GCGAGAGUGGUGAAAUUGGCAGACACGCUAGAUUUAGGAUCUAGUGCCGUACGGCGUAAGGGUUCAAGUCCCUUCUCUCGCACUA
This 85-nucleotide transfer RNA is filed under the name Spirochaetota bacterium. RNAcentral's name for it is "Spirochaetes bacterium tRNA-Leu". It matches the Rfam family "tRNA". From Rfam's summary of the family: Transfer RNA (tRNA) molecules are approximately 80 nucleotides in length. Their secondary structure includes four short double-helical elements and three loops (D, anti-codon, and T loops). Further hydrogen bonds mediate the characteristic L-shaped molecular structure. tRNAs have two regions of fundamental functional importance: the anti-codon, which is responsible for specific mRNA codon recognition, and the 3' end, to which the tRNAs corresponding amino acid is attached (by aminoacyl-tRNA synthetases). tRNAs cope with the degeneracy of the genetic code in two manners: having more than one tRNA (with a specific anti-codon) for a particular amino acid; and 'wobble' base-pairing, i.e. permitting non-standard base-pairing at the 3rd anti-codon position. The record is from RNAcentral. Lineage: Bacteria; Pseudomonadati; Spirochaetota.